This 253-nucleotide ribosomal RNA is filed under the name uncultured bacterium. RNAcentral's name for it is "partial 16S ribosomal RNA". It matches the Rfam family "Bacterial small subunit ribosomal RNA", at positions 524 to 776 of the family's 1533-position model. The record is from RNAcentral.
UACGAAGGGUGCAAGCGUUGUUCGGAAUUACUGGGCGUAAAGGGUGCGUAGGCGGCCUUGUAAGUCAGAAGUGAAAGCCCUGAGCUUAACUCAGGAAUUGCUUUUGAAACUACAAGGCUCGAGUAUAGGAGAGGUAAGCGGAAUUCCCAGUGUAGAGGUGAAAUUCGUAGAUAUUGGGAAGAACAUCAAUGGCGAAGGCAGCUUACUGGACUAUUACUGACGCUGAGGCACGAAAGCGUGGGGAGCAAACAGG